GAAAUCUAACUAGUAAAUUGUAUAAUUUGUAAAGUAUUGUAAGAUUUGUUCAUAAUUUUUAUUUUUUUUUGAGAGAUAGGUAGCACACUACCUGCUUCGUUUAUUUCAUUUAGAAAUAAACUUAGCUAAAAAUGUGAAUCAACUAUGAUUCAAACUUGGGUCUCGGAUACCAACCACCAAGCCCUUUGCCACUCGCUCUAGGGACGGUCGGUUUGUUCAUAAUUUUUUUUUUAUUAUUAUUUGAGUCAAACGAAUGUAUAUCCAUGUGUGGCUUCUAGGGUAUUAAAAGGAUCCAACCCUUAUGCACUCAGGCUUAGUUUGGUUCGGGUAUAAGUAAAAAUUAUUUUAUUUCAGAGAUAAAUACAAGUUUAAGUAUAAGUGAGAAAUAGAGAAAUUUUACGUUUGGAUGAAAAUUAGGUUGUUCCUAGAAAUAAAAAAAAAUAGCGUUUGGAUAAAUAAUAUAGAAUAAGAAGAAUAAUGUAUAGUUAUAAAUUAAAAAUAAUGAUAUUACUCCUCUCAUUAUAUUUAAAAUUUUAAAUUUUAAAUUUUACAUUUAUAAUUUGAAAUUUAAAUUUUUUACUUUUAAAUUUAAAAUUUUGAAUUUAAAAUUUAAGUUUAAAAUUUAAAUUUCAAAUUUUUAAUUUUAAAUUUAAAAUCAAAUUUAAAAUUGAAAGAUAUAAAAUAUCAAAUUUAAAAUUUUAAAUAUUAAAAUAUCAAAAUUAAAAUUUAAACUUUAUAAUUUAUAAUUUUAAAAUUUUAAAUUUUAAUUUUAAAACUAUAAAUUUAAAUUUUAAAAAAUUAAAUUCUAAUUUAAAACAUAUUUUCCUCUCUCUCUCUAUCAAGGGAACAAGGGGUAAGAACAAGCUAGUUGUUAGGAUUUGGUUAGAUUUGUAGUUGAAUCAUAGUUGGAUAAGAAUUAAUAUUUAAAUCUGUUAGAGAUAAAUUAAGAUUUAAAUAUUAAUUAGAGUAUGAUUUAAUUAGAUUAGGAUAAAUAUUUAAAUCUAUUGGAGAUAGAUCAAUUAAGAUUUAAAUAUUUAUUGGAGUAGAAAUCCUAAAUAUAUUAGGAUUGGGUUACGUUUUGGUGGAGCUUUAUAAAUAGCUCUUGAUGAGUUUGUUUUUUGAGGUGAGUACGGUUGAGAGCCCAGAGGUGCCGUACCAGAAAGAGAAAAAGAGAGAGUUAUUGAGUAUACCUAGUGCACGGGUGCGCGUGGAUGAUUAUCUUCUUUAUGGGUUUAUAGAAGACGAGAGAAGGGUAGAAGAGAUUCAAGAAAGAGGGCUCGAGUUGUAGCUACCCUGUACAGAAGAGGAGUCAGGUGUAAUCUUCUCUUAUUUAAUGAAUCUUAUUUUGGUAUCAAGAUCCGGUACCGAGGUGAGUAUCGGAUUCCCAACAAUUGGUAUCAGAGUUGAAGGUUAUCAAUCCGAGGGAGAGAUCGACGAAGUUGGCCACAAAAUUCGAAAUCGAGAAGUUCGACGACAAGAACAAUUUCGGAUUGUGGCAAAUUAAAGUACGAGCAAUCCUCGUACAGCAAGAAUUGUACGAGACGUUGAACGGGAAUGAGGCGAAGCCGACGGACGUCACGGACGCGGCAUGGAUGAAGAUGGAGCGAAAGGCGUUGAGUACGCUUUAUCUAUCAUUAGCAGAUGAGGUUCUUUACAACGUAGCCAGCGAGACGACACCGGCGAAGUUGUGGAAGAAAUUAUAAGAUCUGUACAUGACCAAAUCCUUGACGAACUGAUUGUAUCUGAAGCAGCGACUGUUUACGCUGCGGAUGCAGGAACCGGCGAGCCUACAUGAGCAUCUAAACGAGUUCAACAAGGUGGUGGCCCAGUUGACCAGCAUCGGAGUCAAUCUGGAUGACGAAGACAAGGCGUUGAUUCUACUAUCUUUGCUACCGACGACAUAUGAGCAUCUGGUGACCACGUUGCUUUAUGGCAAGGAGUCCAUAAGCGUGAAGGCGGUCACGGCGGCGCUUCUCUCGAACGAGAUGCGGAAGAUGACUCAGGAGUCUGGCACGCAAAGUCGGGAUGUAGGACUGGUGUGAGCGCAAAAAAGGAGGCGAAAAUAUCCGCGACCGGAUAUCGACAAAAGAAACAGCUAUCUGAGGUAGAGUGCUUUUACUGUCACAGGAAAGGGCAUAUCAAGCGCAAUUGUCGAAAACUUCAGGAUCAUCUGAAAGAGUUAAAGCGACAGAAGGAGCAAACUGUCGUGAACCAGGAUGAGACGGUAUCAGCGACGGCGCAGGCAGCAAAGUCGGAGAUGAUCGAUUCUAAUGUGCUGUAUGCAGCGACCGGAGAUGCUAAAAUUUCGGAUGAUGCGUGGGUGCUCGUUCGGCGUGUUCCUUUCACGUAUGCCCGGAGAAGGAGUCUUUUGCCACCUAUAAGGCGAUCAAAAGUGGAAAGGCUCUAAUGGGGAACGGGACGGCGUGCAAAGUUUUGGGAGUCGGCACGGUAAAGAUCCGAAUGCACGAUGGGGUCGUGAGGACGUUGAUAGGUGUGCGGCACGUUCUUGGAUUAAAGUAGAAUUUGAUCUCGUUAGGCGCGUUGGACUCGAAGGGUUGCAAUAUUUCGACUUCAGGUGGAGCUAUGAGGGUCCGAAAGCGAGAUCAGAUCGUGUGCGAGGUGAACAAGCGUGGGAACUUAUACGUUCUGAACGGGAGCACGGUCAGAACGAAAGCGAGAUCGGGUCGUGUGCGAGGCGAACAAACGUGGGAACUUGUACGUUCUGAACGGGAGCACAGACAGAAACGGGAGCGAAGACGGUUUGGGUUCCGAAAGUUCGCGGAGGUGCAGUGGUUCGAGACGGAGCGACGAAUGCGGCGACAUCGAGCGAAUGAGACAAACUCAAGGUGAAGCUUGCAUAGUGAGCUCGACGUAGCAGUUGAAAAUUACAAAUCCAACCAAGGUGGAGAUUGUUAGGAUUUGGUUAGAUUUGUAGUUGAAUCAUAGUUGGAUAAGAAUUAAUAUUUAAAUCUGUUAGAGAUAAAUUAAGAUUUAAAUAUUAAUUAGAGUAUAAAUCUAAUUAGAUUAGGAUAAAUAUUUAAAUCUAUUGGAGAUAGAUCAAUUAAGAUUUAAAUAUUUAUUGAAGUAGAAAUCCUAAAUAUAUUAGGAUUGGGGUACGUUUUUGUGGAGCUUUAUAAAUAGCUCUUGAUGAGUUUGUUUUUUAAGGUGAGUACGGUUGAGAGCCUGGAGGUGCCGUACCAGAGAGAGAAAAAGAGAGAGUUAUUGAGUACACCUAGUGCACGGGUGCGCGUGGAUGAUUAUCUUCUUUAUGGGUUUAUAGAAGACGAGAGAAGGAUAGAAGAGAUUCAAGAAAGAGGACUCGGGUUGUAGCUACUCUGUACAGAAGAGGAGUCAGGUGUAAUCUUCUCUUAUUUAAUGAAUCUUAUUUUAUCUGCAUAUUUUUCUCUUUUAUAAUUGUAUCAGCUUUUGCUGAGGAGACAGGUUUAUGGUAAAAAUUCGAUUUGACGCUUCCGUUGCGGAAUCCCAACAAUCGGUACUGGAUCCACAGCAGUCAGUAUCGGAGCAGGUUGCGGAUUCACAAGAUCCGGUACCGGGGCGAGUACCGGAUUCCCAACACUUGCUCCCACCCACCCCAUACAGGGUUAUACCGGUAUAAUCCGGUAUAGGGUGGGAACAAUAGUUUCCACCCAUACAAGAGGGGGGAAUAAGAUCUUAU
This 3676-nucleotide long non-coding RNA is filed under the name Ananas comosus (pineapple). RNAcentral describes it as "long non-coding RNA (ACOM_LNC014160)". Lineage: Eukaryota; Viridiplantae; Streptophyta; Magnoliopsida; Poales; Bromeliaceae. The record is from RNAcentral.